Molecule: long non-coding RNA, 543 nt
Organism: Cucurbita maxima (winter squash)
Lineage: Eukaryota; Viridiplantae; Streptophyta; Magnoliopsida; Cucurbitales; Cucurbitaceae
Exons: 4
Source: RefSeq, a predicted model, not a curated record
UCAAAUUGUUCUUUCUUGUUUCUUUCUUUUCCUUUGGUUUUUGCGUACUGGACGUGCUGGAUUUUUUAGUUUGUUGUUUAUUGCCUGAAUUCUAAAUUCAAGUGUUUCUUCCGUUUCAUCUUGCCGAUUGAUAUUGAGUGGUUGGGACUUCUGUUCUUUAACGUCGCACUAAUCAAGGAUUUUGUUUUCUUUUUACGUUAACUUAAUAAGAGUGACUUUCAAUGUCCUAUGAUCGGAGUUCCCAAUGAUUCUUGCUAAUUCUUUUCUCAUCAAUUGCCCCUAUUUUGUUUCCUAAUUUCUUCUCCCCAUAUCUGGAGUUUUAGUGGUACUUUUUUUCUUCAUUCUUUGGUUUUGGACGGUCGGUAGGAAUGUUAUGUUUUUUUUGUUCUUGUGCGUUUAGAAGGAAAUUUUCUUGUUGUUGAUUAAUCUGCUUCGUUUCCCUCGAAACUGCUGGCUGGAGGGCAUUUGACAACGAGGCAGGGUGCUUUGUACUUUUGGUGGGAAACUUUAGACCAACUGCAAUUCUUCUUUAUUUAUUGAGUG